AAGGGCACCACAAGAACGCGUGGAGCAUGUGGCUUAAUUUGACUCAACGCGGGAAAUCUUACCGGGUCCGGACAUACUGAGGAUUGACAGGUUGUUGUAGUUCUCCUUUUUAGGAGUUCUACUUAAAAUAUGCUAGUCCUUUCAUGAUUGUGUGAUAGGUGGUGCAUGGCCGUUCUUAGUUCGUGGAGUGAUUUGUCUGCUUAAUUGCGUUUCAUAAAAAGGACUUAAUUUUCAUCGCUUCGUUUACCUUGCGCUUAGCCCUGGUUAUAUGAUCGUCUGCUAUUUUGGGUUAAGAGUGUGUAGCUCUGUACUUUUUUAAAGACUAUAGCAGUCUGACUCAGCAUUUACUUGCUUCGAUGUCGACUGUUUGUUUUUUUCUGUGUGCAUUGCUCCACUCUUUUCCCUUUGUGCGAUUUGUAUCUAUUUCCAUUCAAUGGGUUUUGCGUCUAUGGUCGAGUGAUUGAUUUUAUACAAGUCCUGAAGGCAACGAACGUGACCGCACCCUCUUGUUGCAUCCUUUCACAUUACACGUGUAACCAACUUGUUUGGUUUAUCGGAUGCUAACUAGAGGGACCGCUGACAACUUUUAAAACAGAGGAAGGUUGCGGCAAUAACAGGUCUGUGAUGCCCUCAGAUGUUCCGGGCUGCACACGUGCUACAAUGAUUGUUGCAGUAAGCAUCUUUCAUUUAACACACAUAGGUGUUUGUGCUUUAUCUGAACUAUGGCUUUUUUUAGCUUGUGUUCGAUAACACAUUCCCUAUUGGCAACCUACUUCGAAAGUCCAGUAGGUAACCAAUUCGAAGUAACGAUUUCCCCUUGCACAUAUCUCAUGUUUCCUUGUUUGUAGUCUUGUGCUGCUCUGUUCAGUAUACAUUGUUUCUACCUUGGAACAUGUGCUCCUUUAAUUCGUGGUGGGGACAGACCAUUGUUAAUUGUUGGUCUCGGUCUCAACUAGGAAUGCCUUGUACGGGUUGGUUCAACAAACCACCCGGAAUAUGUCCCUGCCCUUUGUACACACCGCCCGUC
RNAcentral lists this ribosomal RNA (1027 nucleotides) under Foraminifera sp. fruitcake. RNAcentral describes it as "bacterial SSU rRNA". It matches the Rfam family "Eukaryotic small subunit ribosomal RNA", at positions 1160 to 1677 of the family's 1831-position model. The record is from RNAcentral. Lineage: Eukaryota; Foraminifera.